Molecule: long non-coding RNA, 1141 nt
Organism: Prunus avium (sweet cherry)
Lineage: Eukaryota; Viridiplantae; Streptophyta; Magnoliopsida; Rosales; Rosaceae
Source: RefSeq, a predicted model, not a curated record
ACUUUGGAAAAAUGUUUUGAAAUAUCCUACAAUACGUUCCCCAAGAAGACCUCCAAGAGAGACUCCUCCAUCGAAAUCUACGACCCAACUUUGUCGUCAUGCGACCCCAAGUUUCUCACUCUCCUCAUCCUCUCCGCUACCUCGCUCUUCAGACUGAAGUACGGCGGUGAAAGAGAUACCCCGAUGUCUUCUUCACUUUGAGUUUCUUGAGCUUUGCUCUUCCCUUCGAGGCUGAGGCUGACUUCCCUCCUUUUCUAAUGCAAUAAACCACAUCGAACUAUUUUCUCUUUUGUUUUUUGUUUGUUACAUCUCAGCCCACCAGAAAACUGGAUCUCCUUUUUUUGUUAGUAUUUAUUUAUUACUUCCAGACCAAUAUUUGUUUCUUUCUACUCUGCAGCAGCUGCUCAUAAAACGGACAUGCGACCUAUGAUUCUCAAGGAAUGUGUUGGUUUUUACAGAUAUAUUUCGAUUAAGGCAAUAAAGCCUAAGUCUCCUAUUGAUGUUCAAUAAUGGCUUACCUAUUUUGGUUAUGAAUUCUUUGAUGACAACUUAAUGUGGUACCCUCUGAAUAUUGUCUUGGGUUGUGCAUUCCUGAUUUUCCUUCUAAUUAUCAGGUUUAUUAUGAGGUCAGUUGAUGAGAAAUUGAUUUUUGCUAGUUACGAAAUAUUCAAUGGUAUAUUGGAUAUUAGAUCUCUUACAGGUAUCUUUCCAUGCUCCUUAUAUGAAGAGAAAAAAAAAACUUCCUUGCGGUUGGAGAACCUAACGAAGGAAACUUUUUCUUCUUUCUUUUGUUCAGAUUCCUGUGACACUUCAUAUGAGGCAGUUAAGGUGUUCAAAGGGAAUAGAGUAAUUGCAUCCAAGGGAGAAGCAUGUGCAAACUAGAGAGUGUACAAGCUUGUGUCUUAUUUUGCCUGUGAAAAAAUGUGCAAGAAGGUAGCUAACUCACACACCCAAGAACAAAGUGAUGAAGUUCAGAUGGAAUUGGUAGAGUUUGUGAGCAAUCACAUGUAGCUCCAUUAUUUCCAAUUAGGUUAAUGCUAUGGAUGUGGUAGGAAGUAUGUAUGUGGUACGAAUAAAUAUUGUUUAACUAUGUAAUAAAUGUUGAAUCUUGAAAUUUUAUGAAAGAAAUAAAUUUUGGGUA